CUGUCCCGAACUACGUCGACUCUGACGUCUGUGCCUGACAGACUACGUAGGCCCAGGAUGCGAUAUCCUGCCGAGUUAGUUUCUUUUGUUUUCUGUGUCUCUAUUCAGCUAGUGUUUGAUGUUUGUGAACAGUUUUAGCAACCUUUAUCCUUCCUUUUGUGCGUGGAUCCCAUCGAGUACGACGGAUGGGUAGGGGUGCUCAUACCUUCCCUUCGCAUAACCGAC
Molecule: long non-coding RNA, 225 nt
Filed under: Lathyrus oleraceus (garden pea)
Lineage: Eukaryota; Viridiplantae; Streptophyta; Magnoliopsida; Fabales; Fabaceae
Description: Pisum sativum (pea) long non-coding RNA (PSAT_LNC017086)
Source: RNAcentral